UAGGAACAGAAUCCACAUAAUUGAGACCUGGGACAUUAUUUUAGUUUUGUAAAAGGAGUUAGAUUUUCAUUCUGCAAUAUACUGUAAAAGAUUGCACCCAUGGUAAUAAAUAUAGUGAACACAGGAAAUAAAACCUUCAUUUUUUAUAUCUUAAUUUUUCAUAUCUCCCUGUUUUCCAUCUGCUCACAGUGCAGGAUGGGCUAUUUUGGUCUGUAUUAAUAGAGAACUGAGUAUCAGCAUGCUCCUAAUCUUGAGCCUUCUCCCCAUGCCAAAAUAUAAUUUUUUUCUCCAAGCACUGUGGGUACUGAACAAGUCCAGCCUUGAGAAUGGGCUUAGAGUUGUGCUCAAAAGCCUGGAAGGCAAUCAGAAGUGAGCUGCUUUGGUUCCACAGCAAAUACAGAAAUAAAGGUAAAUACAGUAAUUCAGAUUAUGCAGGUACCAACAUUCUUCAUGGUCUGUGGCUCUGCCCCUCUGCCCUGCUCUGGUGGGGCCCCACCUGCAGGGUUGCAUCACCUCUGGAAGGACAUGGAUCUGUUGGCACAAGUCCAGAGGAGCACAACAAGAUGAUCAGAGGGAUGGAGCACCUCUCCUGUGAGGACAGGCUGAGAGAAUUGGGAUUGUUCAGCCUGGAACAAAGAAAGCUUUGGGGUGAUCCAAUUGUGGCCUUCCAAUGCCUGAAGGAGCUUACAGGGAAACUGGGGCAGGACUGUCUACAAGAGCAUGUAGUGACAGGACAGGAGGGAAUGAGUUCAACUUGA
RNAcentral lists this long non-coding RNA (758 nucleotides) under Zonotrichia albicollis (white-throated sparrow). RNAcentral's name for it is "lncRNA (ENSZALG00000003111.1)". The record is from RNAcentral. Lineage: Eukaryota; Metazoa; Chordata; Aves; Passeriformes; Passerellidae.